RNAcentral lists this ribosomal RNA (497 nucleotides) under uncultured bacterium. RNAcentral's name for it is "partial 16S ribosomal RNA". It matches the Rfam family "Bacterial small subunit ribosomal RNA", at positions 28 to 507 of the family's 1533-position model. The record is from RNAcentral.
GAUGAACGCUGGCGGCGUGCCUAAUACAUGCAAGUCGAGCGAACAGAUGAGGAGCUUGCUCCUCUGACGUUAGCGGCGGACGGGUGAGUAACACGUGGAUAACCUACCUAUAAGACUGGGAUAACUUCGGGAAACCGGAGCUAAUACCGGAUAAUAUAUUGAACCGCAUGGUUCAAUAGUGAAAGACGGUUUUGCUGUCACUUAUAGAUGGAUCCGCGCCGCAUUAGCUAGUUGGUAAGGUAACGGCUUACCAAGGCAACGAUGCGUAGCCGACCUGAGAGGGUGAUCGGCCACACUGGAACUGAGACACGGUCCAGACUCCUACGGGAGGCAGCAGUAGGGAAUCUUCCGCAAUGGGCGAAAGCCUGACGGAGCAACGCCGCGUGAGUGAUGAAGGUCUUCGGAUCGUAAAACUCUGUUAUUAGGGAAGAACAAAUGUGUAAGUAACUAUGCACGUCUUGACGGUACCUAAUCAGAAAGCCACUGCUAACUACGUG